GUCUUUUUGUAGUAUCUUUAAAGUCUAACCUGCCCACUGAAAAAUUUAAAGGGCCGCGGUAUUUUGACCGUGCAAAGGUAGCAUAAUCAUUAGUCUUUUAAUUGAAGGCUCGUAUGAAUGGUUGAACGUAGUAUUAGCUGUCUCAUAAAAAAUUAAAAUAGAAUUUAACUUUUUAAUUAAAAGGUUAAAAUAAAUUUAAAAGACGAGAAGACCCUAUAGAGCUUUAUAAUAUUUUUGUGUAAUUUAUUUAGAAAAAUUAAAAUAAUACGGAUUUUAUUAUUUUGUUGGGGUGACAAUAAAAUUUAAUAAACUUUUAUUAAUUGUAAACAUUAAUUUAUGAAUAAUUGAUCCAGUUAUAUUGAUUAUAAAAUUAAGUUACCUUAGGGAUAACAGCGUAAUUUUUUUUAAGAGUUCAUAUCGACAAAAAAGAUUGCGACCUCGAUGUUGGAUUAAGGGUUAUUUUUGGGUGUAGAAGUUCAAAGUUUAGGUCUGUUCGACCUUUGAAUCCUUACAU
RNAcentral lists this ribosomal RNA (514 nucleotides) under Trichocera regelationis. RNAcentral's name for it is "partial large subunit ribosomal RNA". It matches the Rfam family "Bacterial large subunit ribosomal RNA", at positions 1828 to 2601 of the family's 2925-position model. The record is from RNAcentral. Lineage: Eukaryota; Metazoa; Arthropoda; Insecta; Diptera; Trichoceridae.